Molecule: ribosomal RNA, 372 nt
Filed under: uncultured bacterium
Lineage: Bacteria
Description: bacterial SSU rRNA
Rfam family: Bacterial small subunit ribosomal RNA
Source: RNAcentral
CACGUGAGUUACCUGCCCCGAAGUGGGAGAUAGCCCGGAGAAAUUCGGAUUAAUACCCCAUGUGAUCGAAAGAUUAAAGGCGGCGCAAGCUGUCGCUUCGGGAUGGGCUCGCGGCCUAUCAGCUAGUUGGCGGGGUAACGGCCCACCAAGGCGAUGACGGGUAGCUGAUCUGAGAGGAUGAUCAGUCACACUGGAACUGAGACACGGUCCAGACACCUACGGGUGGCAGCAGUCGAGAAUCAUUCGCAAUGGGCGAAAGCCUGACGGUGCGACGCCGCGUGGAGGAUGAAGGCCCUAGGGUCGUAAACUCCUGUCAUCAGGGAGUAAUGGCUCAUAUAGUAACUGAUAUGGGUCUUGAUAGUACCUGAAGAG